ACUCAAAUGAAUUGACGGGGGUCCGCACAAGCGGUGGAACAUGUGGUUUAAUUCGAUACUACGCGAGAAACCUUACCUGGGCUUGACAUGUUUUUGACUGUCAUAGAAAUAUGAUUUUCUAGGUGAAAGCCUAGACAGAUUCACAGGUGCUGCAUGGCUGUCGUCAGCUCGUGUCGUGAGAUGUUGGGUUAAGUCCUCUAACGAGCGCAACCCUUGCUGCCAGUUGCUACUUUGUGAAAAGGCACUCUGGUGGGACUGCCUAGGAAACUAGGAGGAAGGCGGGGAUGACGUCAAGUCCGCAUGGUCCUUAUGCCCAGGGCUACACACGUGUUACAAUGGGUAAUACAAAGCGUUGCAAACUCGUAAGAGUAAGCCAAUCGCAUAAAGUUACUCUAAGUUCGGAUUGAGGUCUGCAACUCGACCUCAUGAAGCUGAAAUCGCUAGUAAUCGUAUAUCAGAACGAUACGGUGAAUACGUUCCCGGACCUUGUACACACCGCCCGU
This 503-nucleotide ribosomal RNA is filed under the name uncultured bacterium. Its description in RNAcentral is "partial 16S ribosomal RNA". It matches the Rfam family "Bacterial small subunit ribosomal RNA", at positions 899 to 1397 of the family's 1533-position model. The record is from RNAcentral.